RNAcentral lists this ribosomal RNA (1003 nucleotides) under uncultured organism. RNAcentral describes it as "bacterial SSU rRNA". It matches the Rfam family "Bacterial small subunit ribosomal RNA", at positions 48 to 1046 of the family's 1533-position model. The record is from RNAcentral.
CUUACACAUGCAGUCGAGGGCAGCAUGAGUGGCAACACUUGAUGGCGACGGCGCACGGGUGAGUAACGCGUAUGCACCUACCUCUGACUGGAGAAUAGGCCGAAGAAAUUCGGAUUAAUGCUCCAUAAGACCACGAAUACCGGCCAUGAAAUAAAGUGGUAAAAGUUCCGACGGUUAGAGAUGGGCAUGCGUGCCAUUAGUUUGUUGGUGAGGUAAUGGCUCACCAAGGCAACGAUGGCUAGGGGGUCUGAGAGGAUGAUCCCCCACACUGGUACUGAGACACGGACCAGACUCCUACGGGAGGCAGCAGUGAGGAAUAUUGGUCAAUGGACGCAAGUCUGAACCAGCCAUGCCGCGUGCAGGAUGAAUGCCCUAUGGGUUGUAAACUGCUUUUCUACAAGAAGAAACCCCUUGACACGUCAAGGGCUGACGGUAUUGUAGGAAUAAGCAUCGGCUAACUCCGUGCCAGCAGCCGCGGUAAUACGGAGGAUGCAAGCGUUAUCCGGAUUCAUUGGGUUUAAAGGGUGCGUAGGCGGGGUAGUAAGUCAGUGGUGAAAGCCUGCGGCUUAACCGUAGAAUUGCCAUUGAUACUGCUAUUCUUGAGUGCAGUUGAGGUAGGCGGAAUGUGUAAUGUAGCGGUGAAAUGCUUAGAUAUUACACAGAACACCGAUUGCGUAGGCAGCUUACUAAACUGUUACUGACGCUGAGGCACGAAAGCGUGGGGAGCGAACCAGGAUUAGAUACCCUGGUAGUCCACGCUGUAAACGAUGAUCACUCGCUGUUGGCGAUACACUGUCAGCGGCUGAGCGAAAGCAUUAAGUGAUCCACCUGGGGAGUACGGCCGCAAGGUUGAAACUCCAAGGAAUUGACCGGGGGCCCGCACAAGCGGUGGAACAUGUGGUUUAAUUCGAUGAUACGCGAGGAACCUUACCUGGGCUUAAAUGCAGAACGACGUACCGGGGAAACUGGUAUUCCCUUCGGGGCGGACUGCAAGGUGCUGCAU